RNAcentral lists this ribosomal RNA (372 nucleotides) under uncultured organism. Its description in RNAcentral is "bacterial SSU rRNA". It matches the Rfam family "Bacterial small subunit ribosomal RNA", at positions 526 to 896 of the family's 1533-position model. The record is from RNAcentral.
CAGAGGGUGCAAGCGUUGUUCGGAAUUAUUGGGCGUAAAGCGCGUGUAGGCGGCUUUGCAAGUCGGGUGUGAAAUCCCUCAGCUUAACUGAGGAAGUGCGCCCGAAACUGCAGAGCUUGAGUGCCAGAGAGGGUGGCGGAAUUCCCCAAGUAGAGGUGAAAUUCGUAGAUAUGGGGAGGAACACCGGUGGCGAAGGCGGCCACCUGGCUGGUAACUGACGCUGAGACGCGAAAGCAUGGGGAGCAAACAGGAUUAGAUACCCUGGUAGUCCAUGCCGUAAACGAUGAGAACUAGGUGUCGUGGGUGUUGACCCCCGCGGUGCCGUAGCUAACGCAUUAAGUUCUCCGCCUGGGAAGUACGGCCGCAAGGCUA